RNAcentral lists this ribosomal RNA (269 nucleotides) under uncultured archaeon. RNAcentral describes it as "partial 16S ribosomal RNA". It matches the Rfam family "Archaeal small subunit ribosomal RNA", at positions 477 to 746 of the family's 1478-position model. The record is from RNAcentral.
CAGCUCUCCGAGUAGUGUGGACGUUUAUUGGGCCUAAAGCAUCCGUAGCUUGCUAGAUAAGUCCUCUGUUAAAUCCACCGAUUCAAUCGUUGGAUUGCGGGGGAUACUGUUUGGCUAGGGGACGGGAGAGGUCGACGGUAUUUCCGGGGUAGGGGUGAAAUCCUAUAAUCCCGGGAGGACCACCAGUGGCGAAGGCUGUCGACUAGAACGCGCCCGACGGUGAGGGAUGAAAGCUGGGGGAGCGAACCGGAUUAGAUACCCGCGUAGUC